Molecule: long non-coding RNA, 1318 nt
Filed under: Equus caballus (horse)
Lineage: Eukaryota; Metazoa; Chordata; Mammalia; Perissodactyla; Equidae
Description: lncRNA (ENSECAG00000055264.1)
Source: RNAcentral
AAAGCUGUAUAUUCUAGUUGUAGGUCUUUCUAGUUGUGUUAUGUGGGAUGCUGCCUCAACACGACUUGAUGAGCAGUGCCAUGUCUGCACCCAGGAACGAACCAGCGAAACCCUGGGCCGCCGAAGCAAAGCCCGCAAACUUAAUCACUCAUCCAGGGGGCUGGCGCCACAUUUGUGCAUUGUUAACCAAGAAUCUGAUUUAACCAUUCACCGUUGGUGUGAUACAUUCCAAGGUUACUCCUUCAAGGCAACUGCAACAUCCCAAAGGACCUGAUAAUGACCUCCUUAAAAUACAACCAUCAAAGAAGAUAGUGCGCCUAUUUCCCAGCUUCUGUGGGCAGGUGAAAAAAAAAAAAAAAUCUUCCUGAAUGAGCCACUUAUAGAGCAAAGAUUCUGAAAGAAAAACACACAUUUGAAGAAAAAGUCUAUCAAUAAUGCUUCCUCAAAAGGCAACUUUUGGUUCUCCAUUGGCAAAGGAUCCCAUCUCUUCAUCUAUAUUGUGUUUAACCUUGAUUUCAAACAGCGAAAACGAGCUCUGGCAACUUCAGAAGCUAGCCAUCAUCUCCUACUAGCCAGCAAGUCUUAGAUAAAGAGUGAAAACGUAGUGGUGAUGACUCAAGAGCACAGCCCUGCCUGUGCUUGGAACUGGGCACCAGUAGUCAGCAAACAGACAUGGAUGCAGGAAAAGAGAUGGGAGGGCAGCCAGUCGAACUUCAUCUAACGGUCCUUGUAGCAGGAUUUAACAUCUAUGUGUUAUGCCAUCAUGAUGUAAUGGUUGCCAUGUUGCCUUCUUUUCAAGAAUUUUCUAAAGAACAAUGUACUAAUUGUAUAAAAAUAAUAUACAUUCUUUAUUAAAUUUGGAGUAACAUAGUAAAUCACAAAGAAGAGUGAACAUUAAGAGAACAUUAUUCCAUAGAUCUCUUUAUGCAUAUAUAUAUAGAGAGAGAAAAUAAACAGAUAAGCUGUAAAACUUUGUAAAUGGUAUCAUGUUAUAUAAGGCUUUUAACUUCACUUGAGUUUCGUGGUGGAAGAAAAAUCUUAAGUGAAGCUAAGAAAACUGCUAACAUUCAGAUAAUGGUUUAGCCAGAAGUAAUAAUAAUUCUUUAGCAAAAGAGUUUUUCCUAAAAGAUCUAAAAAGCUUAGUAAAACCAUUAAUAAAUGGAAUCUUUGUGUUUUAACAUGAUUUCUCAAUUUUAGAGAGUAUUUAUUGACCUUCUACUUAGGAAGAAAAAAUGAAGAAAUGCAUCUACCUCUCAAAUAUAUUAUAUUACUAUUUUUACUGCACUUAGUCUCCAAAUGCUCUUCCCACAGUUCUUCU